CCUGGAGUCCUUCCCGGGAUCUUCCAGGUUCUCCCACCGCUCUUCUGGCUACAGCCUCUUCCCGGGGCCGGAGCUGCCGUGGCAUUUGAGGAAGAUCACCUGGUCCUGCUGGUUUGUGUGGCCCUGCUGUCCCUACACAGACAAGGCCCAACCUCCUUCUGGCACAGAGCACCCAGCAGAGCUCAUAUCUACUCUGUCUUCCAGAGGAGAGUUGUGCAACACCUUAAUUGCUGCUGGCCUCUGCCAGCAGGGCAGGGACUGCCCACAGGUGCCCACGCAGCUCCCGUGGAGCUGCCUGAGAGCUACAGAGAUGAGGCUGACAGAGGGGACAGCUGAG
Molecule: non-coding RNA, 337 nt
Organism: Agelaius phoeniceus (red-winged blackbird)
Lineage: Eukaryota; Metazoa; Chordata; Aves; Passeriformes; Icteridae
Source: RefSeq, a predicted model, not a curated record